RNAcentral lists this ribosomal RNA (253 nucleotides) under uncultured bacterium. Its description in RNAcentral is "partial 16S ribosomal RNA". It matches the Rfam family "Bacterial small subunit ribosomal RNA", at positions 524 to 776 of the family's 1533-position model. The record is from RNAcentral.
UACGUAGGGUGCAAGCGUUGUCCGGAAUUAUUGGGCGUAAAGAGCUUGUAGGCGGUCUGUCGCGUCUGCUGUGAAAUUCCGGGGCUCAACCCCGAACUUGCAGUGGGUACGGGCAGACUAGAGUGUGGUAGGGGAGACUGGAAUUCCUGGUGUAGCGGUGAAAUGCGCAGAUAUCAGGAGGAACACCGGUGGCGAAGGCGGGUCGCUGGGCCGAUACUGACGCUGAGGAGCGAAAGCGUGGGGAGCGAACAGG